Molecule: microRNA precursor, 45 nt
Filed under: Ictalurus punctatus (channel catfish)
Lineage: Eukaryota; Metazoa; Chordata; Actinopteri; Siluriformes; Ictaluridae
Description: microRNA ipu-mir-7577 precursor
Source: miRBase by way of RNAcentral
CUCGGACAUUUUGGACUCGGAAAUGUUUCCGAUUACAGUCGAGUC